AACCCAGCACCUCAAGUGGUCAGGAUGAUUAUUGGGCCUAAAGCAUCCGUAGCCUGUCCUGUAAGUUUUCGGUUAAAUCUGUAUGCUCAACAUACAGGCUGCCGGGAAUACUGCAGGACUAGGGAGUGGGAGAGGUAGACGGUACUCGGGGGGAAGUGGUAAAAUGCUUUGAUCUCUCGAUGACCACCUGUGGCGAAGGCGGUCUACCAGAACACGUCCGACGGUGAGGGAUGAAAGCUGGGGGAGCAAACCGGAUUAGAAACCCGGGUAGUCC
This 274-nucleotide ribosomal RNA is filed under the name uncultured bacterium. RNAcentral describes it as "partial 16S ribosomal RNA". It matches the Rfam family "Archaeal small subunit ribosomal RNA", at positions 473 to 747 of the family's 1478-position model. The record is from RNAcentral.